This 7397-nucleotide long non-coding RNA is filed under the name Lactuca sativa (garden lettuce). RNAcentral describes it as "long non-coding RNA (LSAT_LNC007828)". Lineage: Eukaryota; Viridiplantae; Streptophyta; Magnoliopsida; Asterales; Asteraceae. The record is from RNAcentral.
UGAGUUGCUUAGGGCUUAAUCAUCCUAAUUAGGGUUUCCUUGUUAGAUAACCCUAAUUGCCUAACUAUAUAUAAGACCCUUAUGACCCAAAAACGUGGGGAAGCUUUAUUCUAGGGUUAGAACACGUUUUAGGCAGCCUCCAUUCUCUCUCCUCUUCAUCCUCUUGCUUGUGGUGUUUGUGAACCAUUAGAGGAGUGACAAUUGUGACUCUAAGCUUUCUAAAGUCAAUACAAGGAGAUUUGGGAUUGUUAUUGCUACAUAACAAUCAAGGUAACAUCUUAAACCUAUUUUCAUGUUAAUAUGAUUACUUGAAUGCUACAAUUAGGGUUUAUAGUCUUGGAUAACUUGCAUGUACAAUAGAGAAACCUAGAUCCAAGCAUUAGGGUUUGUAUGAGCACAUAGGAUGUUCUUAGGACCAAAACCCAUCAGUGGUAUCAGAGCCUAGACUGGUUUCAAUUGUAUUGAUGCAUUGUAUAUCUGAAAAAUUCGAUUUUUGGUGUUCUGGAGGCUGAACUUGCCGAGUCCAUAGCUGAACUCGCCGAGUCCAAGCUUGACUCGACGAGUCAACUCGUCAGAUAGAGCAUAUCUCGGGAUUUCUUGUUGUUUUUGCUUUGGGAUAGUUACCUUAUCACAUUAGAUCAAUAUUAAUCCGAUUUUAUGAUAUAUUUGACUAUAUUUUUGAUCUAAUUGAAGAUAUUUAUCAAUUAAUAAGAUAAUUGUUUCCUUAUGUGAUAAUUGAUUAAUUAUUUUGAUUAAAUUGAUAAAUUGUUUUGCAAGAAAUCAUUAAAUAAAUCAAAUAUGGAUAAUUAUGUGAUUAAAUGUUAAUUUAGAUUAUUUGUUAUUUGAUCCUUGUUGUUAUGAAAAGUUUCAUAUUUUCCCCUUUAGGUUUUAUAGUUUAAAUUUGAACCCAAAAGUUUUGUUGUUUUGAAAUUUAAAUAGUUAAAACCCUAAUGUUUUGAAAAAGGUUUCAAAACUUGCCCUCAAGUUUUGGAAUUUAAAUUUUGAUUAAUUGUUUAAUUUUGAUGUAUAUUUAAAUUCUAAACCCUAAUGUUUUGAAAUGUUUCAAAACUUGCCCUCAAGUUUUGGAAUUUAAAAGUUGAUUAAAAGUUUAAUUAGGAAUGUUAAAUUCUAAAACCCUAGUAUUGUUUUGAAAAAGUUCAAAUCACACCCUUAUGGUUUUAUUAAUUAAUUAAGGUGUAUAAUUAAAAGAGGUUUAAUAAAUCCAUAAAAGUUUAGGUUUACAAUUUAAUUGAAUUAAAAGUAUAAUUGUUAAAUUUGACCACCUAAUAUUUUAAAAGUGUAAAAUACACCCUAUACUAUAUAUAACAUUAAAAGUCUAACAUUAUAUAUAUGUAUGAGUAAAAGUCAGUCUUACCGUUAGUAGGCCUCAUUCACGAAGCUGGUCUAUAAGGGGUGUUUAAGGAAAUUGCCUAUAAAAUGGCGAUUGAAUGGGUAUCCACUCUUACCCACCGCACUCUUGACUAGUGGAGGGUCGUUAGCCGAACGGGUAGGAUAGGACGAAACCUUCCAUUAUAAGUAUAAUGAAUUAUUAAAGUAACUAAAUGUUUUCAUAAAAUUCCCAAUCUUAGUUACUUAGGCAAAAGUGAAUUGAUGCAAUUCCAUGAAAUUACACUUUGUGCCCUUGCGAAGACGUUAGUGGAGCGUGUGUGGUUAACCGGCACACUAAAUGGUUCUAAGCAAAGGUAGCAAAGGGUGACUCAAUGUUUGUCAUAGUUCGGUGGAGCGUGUGUGGUUUACCGGCACAUCGAAUAGGUGACUGUAACAUGUGAGGGCACCAUGUAAGUUUGCAUGGUUAUUCACACCCGCUUUGUGAUCCUCGGCAUCCCAGUCACAAACAAGAGGGGCAUAUCGAGAUUUAAACAUGCCAUUGAAAGUUCAAUGAAUCUCAAAGGAUCUAGGAGUUUUCAUAGAUUUAAAACUUAAAUUUCUUUUUCGUUUUUCAUGGUGGAAAUUAGUGAAUCGUCAUUCACUUACCUUCAAAUAUUCUGCAAUUAGGGUUACGGCAUCCCUCUCCCGAGUUGUAGAAUAUUGUGUUGGGUCCUAGCCUUAGUAUCUCAUUUGGGUGAUUUACUAAGGACUCAAUCAAUCAACUAACUUGAAUUCGUUUUCUCCCGUUUUGUAGAUGUCAAAGUUCGACAACUAUGGUCUUCCCAAAUCCCGUGGAACAAGCAUUCCACAUGAAGAUGAUAUUCCACGAUUCGAUCGAGGAACAAGAAAUCAUGCUUCACUUCCUCCUCCUCCUCCAAUUAUUCUCCCUAACCCACAAGUUCAAAGGCUUGAAAAGUUCAAGAUCACUCAAGCCCUUUUGGCAAGUAAACAUAAAGAAGGAAAGUCGGUGUGUGCACACGUCCUAGGGAUGAAGUCACACAUUGAUAGGUUAAGAAUGUUGGGAUCCGUUGUCUGUGAGGAAAUGGCUGUUGAUUGGGUUCUUCAGUCACUUCCUAACUCAUAUAGUGAGUUCGUAAGAGAGUACUAUAUGAUGAACCGCGACGUGACCCUUAUAGAUCUCACCUAUAUGCUUAUUGCUGCUGAAUCAGCAAUGGUUUGGCGCAAUAGAAAAGCAAAGUUGAUUGGUGAAUCUGCCUUCAAGACCUCUAUGGAUAUAGACAAUGGCAACGAAAGACAUGCUAUGAUCGAAAAGUUUGAUCAUAAGAGAAAGGCAAUGUCUGAAGUAGUUCCAUGUCAUGUUCCAAAAGAGUCAAUUUGCUUUUAUUGCCAAGAGAAAGGGCAUUGGAGACGAAGCUGCCCCAUUUACCUAAGAGAUCUAAGAGAUGGGAGAGUCGAAACGUAUGGCUCUAAUAUAGGUAAAAUCCAUUAACUAACUCUUUUAAGCUUCUAUUCUAGAUUCUUAAUACAUAAUGUGAUAAGAUUACAAUUGAUGUUUUGUAGGAUCGAAGAAAAGAAAGGAAGCUUAAGGGAAGAAGUGAGCAGAAUCUAACCGUGAAGGAAUGGAUUUCGAUCGCAUUUCUCGAAGAUUAGAUUCUUGAGCUACUACUUAGAGUUAGAAUUAGAUUGCUAAGAAAGAUGUAUUAGCAUAGUUUUUCAAUGAAUUGCAUUGUAAGGACAAAUUUUUUCCGCAAUAAAAUAAAUUUUGAUUUUAUAUUAUUUAUUUAUCCUUGCAAUGGCGUAUAUGAAAAAUUGAUGUUUGAAUGUUUCUAUUAUUAGCAAUAAUGGAUUUGGUUCUUAUUAUGUUAUUUAUGGAAAGUCGAGAAUUUACCAAAUAGGGAGAGUUUCUCAUCGCCCAAGUUUCAAUUGGACAGAAACUUGGAAUCAUGCAACUUGGUUGCACGAUGAAUGAGAAAUUUCAUAUUUGGAAAUUAGACUAAUUCAUUGACAAAGUGUCAAGUGAAGGACUAGGAGAUCGAGUACACAAAGUUGCGUGUUGAUCAAGUCCACCAUAAGAGUAACAAAGAUAUUCGUCAUGAUUUACUAAAGGUUUAGUAAAUAUGAUUAUACUUACAAGAUUAAGUGUAAUUCUGAAUUGAUUGAAAAAGUUUAAAUCAAUAGCAGAACGAAUAAGAAGAAUCAAGUAGGCAGAAAGAUAAAAGUUUCUCCAUUCUAAGAAGAAGGGAGAGUACCUUUUAUGCUUUAUGAUAGGUCUUAAUGAUUAAGAACCAUAUCUCAAUUGAUCCUCUAAGUGAGUCUUAGUACAAUUGUAUGUCUAAGAAGAGGAAUCAAGAAUUGAAGAAAUGGUUAAAUCAAGAAGUCAAUCAUACUUCGUUCCAAAACAAGUCUUAGAGUUAAGAUUGUGACAUUGAGUGAUAAGUAUUAAGAAGGUUUAUAACAUUCAUCAAAUGUGGAAAGUUGUGAUGUCUUGGAUAAGACAAAGACCAACUAGGACCAAUUUAUGAAGUGUUUUGAUAAAAGCUACACUAACUCUUGAAUAUUUGUUUGUCAAGAAAUGUUUAUUGACAAGAGAAUCUUAUAUGUCAAGGAGUCAGUGGGAGUCUUAAUGGUCUUGAAAGGUUUCAAGAACAAAUCAAAUAAACCUUAUCGAUCAUCACUAGCACACGAGUUGAGGUUUACAACCUAUCGUGUUGACAUUAUUUUGUUUCUGUGCCAAUCCAAUCGAGUUAAUUAUGCAUGUGAGUUCUAUGAGUUCUCAUUUUGAACGCAUAAAAGGCAAAGCACCUUAAUCAAUGAAAGGUACAUUGAUAGGAAAGGGUGAGCUGCUUAACUACUUGGAAGACAUGGUGGGCAGCUGUGCUACCAUAAGGCAAGAAAUCAAGAUUAAGAAAGUUCGGUCCAUAUGAGUUUGAAUUUGUCGUAAACUUUGGUUUUGACAAAUUCACAUGGAUAGGAACACAUACACCGUUUAAAUCUAAGUGUCAUAAGAUUUCCUCCUUCAUGAAAAUGAUUGUGAGGAAAUGCUUUCACUAAGAAAGAUUUUAAGAAGAUAGUGAUUGUAAAAUUGCAUUCUCGAAUUCGAUUAUGGUUACGGUAUCCCUUUCCAUAAUUUGAAUUGUGAGGUUUGGCAAUUAGUCUUAAUUGUUUAGACACACAUAUGAACUAUCGAAGGCAAAGGUGUAUAAGUUCAAGAAGCCUUGAUAAAAGAUUAUCAAAGCACUAAGUAUUAGAAACAUGAACUUAAGAAAUUCAAUAAGUAUUGUUUUUCUGAAAGUUAAGAUGUUUAUGAAUACAUGUCGAAGCUAGUGGGAGCAUAAGUGUUAUGUUUUAUAAUAAUCAUCAUGAUAGUGGGAGCAUAAAUGUUAUGAUUGUAUGAUUAUUAAGGAAAGUAUUGCAAGUUGGCAAUAUUAAUUAUAGAAAACAAGAGUCAUUCUUUGCAAAGUUGUAAGGAUGGAAUAGUUGUUUUGCUAUAAUUAAGGGAGAGAAUAUUAUGCUUCAUUUCAAAUCUAAAGGCUUAGGUUGAGAAAUGUUAAUAAAUUUAGUCAAAGGUACAUAGUGUGUUCUUAAAAUUUCGAUUAUGAUUACGGCAUCCCUCUUCACAAUUCGAAUUUUGAGAACAUAGCAAAUAAAACAUUAUGCGUCGUGUCCCAUACGCUUCGGGUAUAGGAUCGAUUGCAAAUGCUUUAAUGUUUGACCAUUCUAAAAUUUUCCAAAUGUCGAGCGCAUUUAGAGGGAAAAGGGACUAGAAUUGGUUUUGACUAAAAUAAUUAAACAACUAUCAAAGGACAAUCCAAAGUUCGACGAGGAUUGGUCGCUUGUGAGUAGUUGGAAGUAUAGUAUUGGAAAAUAUGGAAAUGUUUCCAUAUUGGAUGGACCAUAUCGACAUUAUUAUGAAUAGAUAAGAUUCUAUUAAGAAUGAGUUGUCAUAUGGAAAAUAUGGAAGCGUGUCCAUAUUGGGAAUUGAAUAUUGAAAAUCUAUGUCUAGAUUAGAAACUUUUAUGCAAAAGGAUGUUCAAAGGAAUGUACUUUGAGUGAGAGACAUCAUAUCUAAGGAAUUGUCUUGUAACAAUCUCCGAUAGAGGACUUUGUAAUAUCAUUGGCAAUAGUCUUUGUGACUUUGGUGCAGUGACAUUACGAAAGGAUAGUUGCAUAGAAUGUUAGAAUCUAGCAUAUUCUAUAAGUAGCAAGAAUUUGAUAUUCUUUCACUUAUGAAAAAGGAUUUGGAGUUGUGAAAUGAGAAUGAUUGGAAAUGUGUUCAAUUUGAUCUAUUUCACAAAGUAAGAACCAUAGGUAAACAUUGUGUGCAUGCUAGGAGCAUGGGACAAGUGUUGUAAUUCAAGUAAGAAGUUGAUUACCCGAAACGACAAAUAAUGAGUAAUCGAUAUGGUGAUAAAUAAAAGGUGUUUUAUUUAUACUCAAAGGUUUGAGGCCAUAUGGGAUUAGUAUUAUUCUUGUGUUUCACAUUUGCAUGUUUUGACUUCCAGAAUAAUUGAGUUUAUUAAGAAUAAUCGAAUUAUUCAAACGGGCCACAGUCGUUCAUAUGUUGGAAGUAGAUAUGAAUGAAGACUGUCGUGAAUUGGUGUGUGGAUUGUCUAAAAGAGUAUUAGACAUAAGCAAAUGUUUGCUGCAACGUUCAUGAGUGCUUAUGAAUAUGAUUUGAGCAUUGGAUUAAACCCACGCUCACUUGGAUCACUCCAUGAAUUGUAUCACGAGUGAUUGGUGAGACGAUAACAUCUUAUAUUCUUGAAACCGAGAUGUGUGAGUUGUAUCUUGCAAAUCGGUUGCACAUUGAUAAUAUGUAAACGCACUAGUAACUUGGUGUUAUAAAACAUAUUGUUGUGUGUGAUUCGGUGAGUGAGUGCAAGCAAGCAUUGUAUCAAAGUUUAUCCGUUCCUUUUAUCCAAAGUAGGAUAAAAGCGAUAUCUUUGGGCCCCUCGAUGAUUUAGUGAUGACAAACGUAAAUGCUCGGCCGGGCUAGGGCUAAUUUGAUUUGUUCAAUUAGUCAGUCGUCAUAAAUCGGAAAUCGAGAUAUAGUACAAAGAGAAUGAUUUGAAAUCAUAUCUCAUAUGAUAUCUAGAAUGGAGGAAUAUAUGAUCCCUUAUCUAAGGACACGCGUAUCUGAUAUGAUCAGAGUUGACAGCGGCUUUGGAAAGCUACGAUUGCAGAUCAGGAUCUGAAGUCAUACGCAUAAUAGUUAUUAGACUUAUCCAAGUGGGAGACUGUUGGAUUAGUGUCUAAGUCCAUAACUAUUUUGGUAUGUACUUGACCCGAUGGUGCAUGGUCCUUUUGGGUUGCCUUCACCAAAGCAACUUGAUAGGAUGAAUUAUGGAGAGAAAGGAUUAAAUAUGAUUUAUUAAUAUAUUAUGAGAAUAAUAUAUUAAAGGAGAAAUCAUAUUGUUUAAUUAAUAUUAGUCAAUAAUUGAUUGGUAAUUAGUUUUGUGACUAAAAGAGAUUAAUUAAACUUAAGGGACUGGAAUUAUAAUUAUAAGAUAAUUGCAAUUUGGGCUAUGGAUUGUCUUAAACUAAGGAGUGGACGAAUUCUAUGGGGAAGCCCAUAAGAAAUCAUCCAAGGCCUUAAAGAAAGGAGUCCAUGGGUUGCUUAGGGCUUAAGCAUCCAAAUUAGGGUUUCCUUGUUAGAUAACCCUAAUUGCCUAACUAUAUAUAAGACCCUUAUGACCCAAAAACGUGGGGAGCUUUAUUCUAGGGUUAGAACACGUUUUGGGCAGCCUCCAUUCUCUUUCCUCUUCAUCCUCUUGCUUGUGGUGUUUGUGAACCAUUAGAGGAGUGACAAUUGUGACUCUAAGCUUUCUAAAGUCAAUACAAGGAGAUUUGGGAUUGUUAUUGCUACAUAACAAUCAAGGUAACAUCCUAAACCUAUUUUCAUGUUAAUAUGAUUACUUGAAUGCUAGAAUUAGGGUUUAUAGUCUUGGAUAACUUGCAUGUACAAUAGAGAAACCUAGAUCCAAGCAUUAGGGUUUGUAUGAGCACAUAGGAUGCUCUUAGGACCAAAACCCAUCAAUUGGUUGACC